GUCUAUGGCCAUGCCACCCCAAAUGAGCCCAAUCUUGUCUGAUCUCGGAAGCUAAGCAGGGUCAGGUCUGGGUAGUACUUGGAUGGGAGACCACCUAGGAAGACCAGGUGCCGUAGGCC
RNAcentral lists this ribosomal RNA (119 nucleotides) under Pteropus alecto (black flying fox). The record is from RNAcentral. Lineage: Eukaryota; Metazoa; Chordata; Mammalia; Chiroptera; Pteropodidae.